CAGGAAGGACCGCUGAGUCAGUGAAAAAUCCUAAAAGGGAUCCCAGAGGAUCGGUGGGAAGGUAGGAAACUUUAGAAGGGACCUCAGGAAUAUGGGGCAGGGAAUUAGUAAAUUCAGUUGCCCCAGGAAGGAAAGGAGCAAGCAGGCAUUGCCGGAUAUACCCUUAGACAGUCCUCUAGGGGUGAGGAUUUUAAAUUGGGA
This is a long non-coding RNA of Chiroxiphia lanceolata (lance-tailed manakin), 201 nucleotides long. RefSeq lists it as uncharacterized. NCBI's taxonomy places the organism in Eukaryota, Metazoa, Chordata, Aves, Passeriformes, Pipridae. The transcript has 4 exons. The record is from RefSeq and is a predicted model, not a curated record.